CUCUCGGUAGCCAAGUUGGUUUAAGGCGCAAGACUGUAAAGGGGAUCUGGUAUGGAUCGUCGAGUAAUCUUGAGAUCGGGUGUUCGACUCACCCCCGGGAGA
Molecule: non-coding RNA, 102 nt
Organism: Arxiozyma heterogenica
Lineage: Eukaryota; Fungi; Ascomycota; Saccharomycetes; Saccharomycetales; Saccharomycetaceae
Source: the annotation of a RefSeq genome assembly